This 415-nucleotide ribosomal RNA is filed under the name uncultured Achromobacter sp. RNAcentral's name for it is "bacterial SSU rRNA". It matches the Rfam family "Bacterial small subunit ribosomal RNA", at positions 107 to 518 of the family's 1533-position model. Lineage: Bacteria; Pseudomonadati; Pseudomonadota; Betaproteobacteria; Burkholderiales; Alcaligenaceae. The record is from RNAcentral.
UGAGUAAUGUAUCGGAACGUGCCUAGUAGCGGGGGAUAACUACGCGAAAGCUUAGCUAAUACCGCAUACGCCCUACGGGGGAAAGCAGGGGAUCGCAAGACCUUGCACUAUUGGAGCGGCCGAUGUCAGAUUAGGUAGUUGGUGGGGUAACGGCUCACCAAGGCGACGAUCCGUAGCUGGUUUGAGAGGACGACCAGCCACACUGGGACUGAGACACGGCCCAGACUCCUACGGGAGGCAGCAGUGGGGAAUUUUGGACAAUGGGGGAAACCCUGAUCCAGCCAUCCCGCGUGUGCGAUGAAGGCCUUCGGGUUGUAAACUGCUUUUGGCAGGAAAGAAACGUCCUGUUCUAAUACCCCGUGAAACUGACGGUACCUGCAGAAUAAGCACCGGCUAACUACGUGCCAGCAGCCGC